UACGAAGGGGGCUAGCGUUGUUCGGAAUCACUGGGCGUAAAGCGCACGUAGGCGGAUCUUUAAGUCAGGGGUGAAAUCCCGAGGCUCAACCUCGGAACUGCCUUUGAUACUGGGGAUCUCGAGUCCGGUAGAGGUGAGUGGAACUGCGAGUGUAGAGGUGAAAUUCGUAGAUAUUCGCAAGAACACCAGUGGCGAAGGCGGCUCACUGGCCCGGAACUGACGCUGAGGUGCGAAAGCGUGGGGAGCAAACAGG
Molecule: ribosomal RNA, 253 nt
Filed under: uncultured bacterium
Lineage: Bacteria
Description: partial 16S ribosomal RNA
Rfam family: Bacterial small subunit ribosomal RNA
Source: RNAcentral